UUGCAUUCUGCCGAUGUGGCACGUCCAUGUAACAAUGUCACCCUUUGUUCAAAACCUCUUCUUAAGAUGGCAUCUUCCUACAUGACAAGUCUCUAUAGUUCAUCUAAUAAUUGAAAUUAAUGCUGAAAAAAUAAAGCGUAAUUAAAUAUAAGUUCAUCAAUUUCUUUUAUAACGAUGUAAGGCCAAUAUUAAUUACUUUAGUUUAUUUUUAAUUACAUUUUUUAAUGCGCACUUUCAUUUUUUUUGUAGUAUAUUUAUUUCCUUUUCAUAAUAGUCACUAAAUAAGAAUGAUGCAUGUAAGGUGAUGAUGAAAUAACAUAUGAUAUUUGUAGCUAUGUUUUUAGUAUAUUUUCUUGCAUUUGAAGGCAAAUUAUAAGUCAAUUAGAGGAAUUGUCACUAGUUUGAGGAACGUUUUGUAUUUUUUUCACUCGAGUCGUUGUAAUUUACUUUUAUCAUGCAUUUUCAUAGGUGUUUUUAGCGUUUUCUAGUGAGAAAUCAUGCAAAUCGACAAAUCUAGACAUCAUGUGAAGGAUCAACGAUAUGAAGAUUAAAGACAAUGAUUUUUAGAUGAAAUCGACAAGACGGAAGGACGAGCGAAAAUGGUUGAAAUCGCACUUGAGGGGAUGCCUCAUAUUCCUCUCCACAUGAGGCCAUGUGCCCCUGUGCAUGGAGGAGCUUUAGCUACUUCCCCAUGCGCACCGCGCAUGGACUAGACUAGAUCCUAAGAAAACGCCAAAAAAGGGUAGCAAAAUGCGUAAAAACUGUAGCUGUAGUCUACGAGAACGCUUUAUCGUCUGUGGCAAAAUAAGGCGUUGUCUUAUCUUUUCACAACGGUUUUGUUCCCAAAGGACAACGUAGUAGGAAAAACCGUAAUUUUAGGAUUCAUAAGAAAACGGAUUUAGAAGAUCUUAAAAACAACGGAAUUUUGCCGUUGUGAAGAACAAAAGCGUAGCAAUUGGUAGCCUUUGGGAACGGUUUUUUAGGUGAUGUCACUACGCCUUGCACCGUUGCUAUUACUUAAACCGUUCUGGAAGACCUGUAUCUAAUGGCCUCUUCAUAAAUACCCCAACAGUCAAAAAAC
This 1081-nucleotide long non-coding RNA is filed under the name Medicago truncatula (barrel medic). RNAcentral describes it as "long non-coding RNA (MTRU_LNC004833)". Lineage: Eukaryota; Viridiplantae; Streptophyta; Magnoliopsida; Fabales; Fabaceae. The record is from RNAcentral.